This 449-nucleotide ribosomal RNA is filed under the name Pichia kluyveri. RNAcentral's name for it is "eukaryotic LSU rRNA". The stretch from base 119 to 271 matches the Rfam family "5.8S ribosomal RNA". Lineage: Eukaryota; Fungi; Ascomycota; Pichiomycetes; Pichiales; Pichiaceae. The record is from RNAcentral.
UCCGUAGGUGAACCUGCGGAAGGAUCAUUACUGUGAUUUAUAUCUUAUACACAUGCGUGAGCGCACCAAACACCUAAAAUUGUAAUACUACACUUGUCAGUAAGUUUUAACAAAACAAAACUUUCAACAACGGAUCUCUUGGUUCUCGCAUCGAUGAAGAGCGCAGCGAAAUGCGAUACCUAGUGUGAAUUGCAGCCAUCGUGAAUCAUCGAGUUCUUGAACGCACAUUGCGCCCCAUGGUAUUCCAUGGGGCAUGCCUGUCUGAGCGUCGUUUCCUUCUUGCGCAAGCAGAGUUGAGAACAGGCUAUGCCUUUUUCGAAAUGGAACGUCGUGGACGAAGUGAACUAAACAUUUAGCACGCUUUGGCCGCCGAACUUUUAACUAAGCUCGACCUCAGAUCAGGUAGGAAUACCCGCUGAACUUAAGCAUAUCAAUAAGCGGAGGAAAGG